AUACGUAGGGGGCGAGCGUUAUCCGGAUUCAUUGGGCGUAAAGCGCGCGUAGGCGGCCAGGCCAGUCGGGGGUUCAGUCCCGGGGCCCAACCCCGGGCCGCCCCCGAUACUGCCUGGCUCGAGUCCCGCAGGGGACGGCGGAACUCCCGGUGUAGCGGUGGAAUGCGCAGAUAUCGGGAGGAACACCGGCGGCGAAGGCGGCCGUCUGGGCGGCGACUGACGCUGAGGCGCGAGAGCCGGGGGAGCGAACAGGAUUAGAUACCCUGGUAGUCCCGGCCGUAAACGAUGGGCGCUAGGUGUGGGCACACAGUGUCCGUGCCGAAGCCAACGCAUUAAGCGCCCCGCCUGGGGAGUACGGCCGCAAGGCUAAAACUCAAAUGAAUUGACGGGG
Molecule: ribosomal RNA, 391 nt
Filed under: uncultured bacterium
Lineage: Bacteria
Description: partial 16S ribosomal RNA
Rfam family: Bacterial small subunit ribosomal RNA
Source: RNAcentral